UGGGAGCCGUCCAGAGUGGCUGGGGAAACCCAGCCAGAUGGGCGGGGUAUUAUUUAUUUAUUUAUUUAUUUAUACCCCCGCCCAUCUGGCUGGGUUUCCCCAGCCACUCUGAACAGCUCCCU
Molecule: non-coding RNA, 122 nt
Organism: Podarcis lilfordi (Lilford's wall lizard)
Lineage: Eukaryota; Metazoa; Chordata; Lepidosauria; Squamata; Lacertidae
Source: the annotation of a GenBank genome assembly